This 100-nucleotide non-coding RNA is filed under the name Arabidopsis thaliana (thale cress). Lineage: Eukaryota; Viridiplantae; Streptophyta; Magnoliopsida; Brassicales; Brassicaceae. The record is from RNAcentral.
ACACAACACAAGAGUCACGAAAGAGGUAACACAUUUGAAAAUAAGUAGCUCGUGAUCGAAAGAAUAUUGUAAUGGGAGUCUUUGGUUGUAUCAGAGGGUC